GACGAACGCUGGCGGCGUGCUUAACACAUGCAAGUCGAACGGAAAGGCCCUGCUUUUGUGGGGUGCUCGAGUGGCGAACGGGUGAGUAACACGUGAGUAACCUGCCCUUGACUUUGGGAUAACUUCAGGAAACUGGGGCUAAUACCGGAUAGGAGCUCCUGCUGCAUGGUGGGGGUUGGAAAGUUUCGGCGGUUGGGGAUGGACUCGCGGCUUAUGAGCUUGUUGGUGGGGUAGUGGCAUACCAAGGCUUUGACGGGUAGCCGGCCUGAGAGGGUCACCGGCCACAUUAGGACUGAGAUACGGCCCAGACUCGUACGGGAGGCAGCAGUGGAGAAUAUUGCACAAUGGGCGGAAGCCUGAUGUAGCAAAGCCGCGUGCGGGAUGAGGGCAUGCGGGUUGUAAACCGCUGUCGCCUGUGACGAAGCGUGAGUGACGGUAAUGGGUAAAGAAGCACCGGCUAACUACGUG
Molecule: ribosomal RNA, 468 nt
Filed under: uncultured bacterium
Lineage: Bacteria
Description: partial 16S ribosomal RNA
Rfam family: Bacterial small subunit ribosomal RNA
Source: RNAcentral